This is a ribosomal RNA of Scleropages formosus (Asian bonytongue), 119 nucleotides long. The record is from Ensembl. NCBI's taxonomy places the organism in Eukaryota, Metazoa, Chordata, Actinopteri, Osteoglossiformes, Osteoglossidae.
CCUUGCAGCCAUACCACCCUGAAUACGCCCAAUCUCUUAAAAUCUCGGAAACUAAGCAAGGUCGGGCCUGCUUAGUACUUGGAUGGGAGACUGCCCGGGAAUACCGGGUGCUGUAAGCG